CCUACGGGAGGCAGCAGUGAGGAAUAUUGGUCAAUGGUCGGAAGCCUGAACCAGCCAAGUAGCGUGCGGGAUGAAGGCCCUACGGGUUGUAAACUGCUUUUGCACGGGGAUAACAUCCUCCACGUGUGGAGGUCUGUAGGUACCGCGCGAAUAAGGGCCGGCUAAUUCCGUGCCAGCAGCCGCGGUAAUACGGAAGGCCCGGGCGUUAUCCGGAUUUAUUGGGUUUAAAGGGGGCGUAGGCGGAAUGUCAAGUCAGCGGUAAAAUCGCGGGGCUCAACCUCGAACCGCCGUUGAAACUGGCGUUCUUGAGUGGGCGAGAAGUAUGCGGAAUGCGUGGUGUAGCGGUGAAAUGCAUAGAUAUCACGCAGAACUCCGAUUGCGAAGGCAGCAUACCGGCGCCCUACUGACGCUGAAGCACGAAAGCGUGGGUAUCGAACAGGAUUAGAUACCCUAGUAGUC
Molecule: ribosomal RNA, 459 nt
Filed under: uncultured bacterium
Lineage: Bacteria
Description: partial 16S ribosomal RNA
Rfam family: Bacterial small subunit ribosomal RNA
Source: RNAcentral